GAAAAAGCUUCCGAAAAGAUAAAAAUGAAACCACAGGGGGGCAAAUUGAUACGUUUUAAACCACAGGGUAGUAAAGUGAGAAUGCAUGAAACCACAGGGGGGGUUUUUGAAGUUUUCCCAAAAAAAUUUAAGACAGUUUAUACUUCAACAACAUCUAUCCGUCGAAAGUUCGGAAUGUGCGGAUUUUUUCACUAGUUUAUAUUUAUAUAUAUAAAUAAAUAAUUAUAUAUAUAUAUAUAUAUAAUAUAUAAAUUUUUAUUAUAUUAAUUUUUAGUCCAACUUAAAUAGAAAGCCCAACUCAAUUAUAAAAGAUCCAUUUAUAUGUAAAAUUUUAAUAAUUAUAUCAAAAUCUAAUAAGCAAAAUUUUACUUAGAAUUAGGGUUUU
RNAcentral lists this long non-coding RNA (385 nucleotides) under Ananas comosus (pineapple). Its description in RNAcentral is "long non-coding RNA (ACOM_LNC030430)". The record is from RNAcentral. Lineage: Eukaryota; Viridiplantae; Streptophyta; Magnoliopsida; Poales; Bromeliaceae.